Molecule: RNA transcript, 1096 nt
Organism: Cynara cardunculus var. scolymus (artichoke)
Lineage: Eukaryota; Viridiplantae; Streptophyta; Magnoliopsida; Asterales; Asteraceae
Exons: 5
Source: RefSeq, a predicted model, not a curated record
CAUGAAUGUUCUACUCCUUUGCCCUAUAUUUAUUCAUCCCUUCUCCUCGAUUUGAAUUUUGAACAGGCCCCUACCUUCAAUUUCAAAGGGUUUACAUGGGAUUCUUAAGGGACAAGCGGAAUUCAUCUUCUUCAUCAACAACCACUUCUCCUUGUGCCGAUCUCAGAGCUGCUUACCACAAUUGCUUCAACAGGUGGUAUUCGGAGAAGUUCUUGAAGGGUCAUUGGGAUAAAGAAGAAUGCGUUUCGGAGUGGGAGAAGUACAAAGAUUGUUUAUCUAAACACUUGGAAGACAAGAAUUUGAGCCGCUUUCUGGAGGCCGAAGGAGUGAAGAGAAUACCUGCUUCCAUUUCCAAAUGAGCCAUGCUUGUUUUAAUUUGAAGUGGUCUGAUUGAAUUGAUGGGAAGAACAUGCAGGUCCCAAACUUGUUCAAUUUCUGCAGCUCCAAUCAACCAGAAUCUACCACUGAAUACUAAUUGGGCUGAUUCUGGCCAGCAAAUGAGAUAGAAGUAGCUUCUACUCGAAAGCAUCCUUAAAAAGAUGAUUCAGAAAUAAAGGGAGAGAAGGAAGAUGAUGAGGGUGUUUCUACAGGUUAUAGGUGUAAAAUUUGUGGACGACUGUCUAAUUGAUGCAACAAGACAAACCGUCAAAACACUUGUAUUAGAGCAGUGGGCAUACAAGUAAUCCGUAAGAAAUGUGAAGGUUAAAGAUGGAGGUCGAAUUCCGGUGAGUACACCUGCUUGCAACUUCAUCUUCCCCUUCAAGAUGUCAGCAGAUGUGAAAGCAACAGUUUUUAAGAUAUGUUGGCCAGAAACAGUUUCUAAAAUCUUUGAUGCCAUGGUUGAUGGGAAUGGGAGGAGAUGCCAUGAUGAUUGCCUCCGUUUCCAUAACAAAAUCAGGCUACAUUCUUUUCAUUCAAAUAACUUGUCAGAAUUCCCUCGAUAUCGCCAUGAUGUUAAAAACGUUAAAUAGGAUCAUGUUCUAAUUCUUCGCCUUUUGGGUUCUUACACUAAUUGUUUUCGGUGUCGUAUGUUUUCUAUGAACAAGAUGUGGGGAGUCUCUUAGCUAAAAACGAUCAUUACGAUUGAGGAAAUGAA